This 407-nucleotide ribosomal RNA is filed under the name uncultured bacterium. RNAcentral's name for it is "bacterial SSU rRNA". It matches the Rfam family "Bacterial small subunit ribosomal RNA", at positions 30 to 431 of the family's 1533-position model. The record is from RNAcentral.
AUUGAACGCUGGCGGCGUGCCUAACACAUGCAAGUCGAGCGGUAACAGGUGUAGCAAUACAUGCUGACGAGCGGCGAACGGGUGAGUAAUGCUUUGGAAUCUUCCCAGUAGUGGGGAAUAACCAGUCGAAAGAUUGGCUAAUACCGCAUACGUCUGGUAAAGGGAAAGCGGGGGCUCGUAAGACCUCGCGCUAUUGGGAUGAGCCAAAGUCGGAUUAGGCUAGUUGGNGGGGUAAUGGCCUACCAAGGCGACAAUCCGUAGCUGGUCUGAGAGGACGACCAGCCACACCGGAACUGAGACACGGUCCGGGACUCCUACGGGAGGCAGCAGUGGGAAUAUUGGACAAUGGGGGAAACCCUGAUCCAGCGACGCCGCGUGUGUGAAGAAGGCCUGCCGGGUUGUAAAGC